Molecule: ribosomal RNA, 1800 nt
Filed under: Triticum aestivum (bread wheat)
Lineage: Eukaryota; Viridiplantae; Streptophyta; Magnoliopsida; Poales; Poaceae
Description: partial small subunit ribosomal RNA
Source: RNAcentral
AUGGCGUCGGCGACGUCGACGGCGGAGCUGGAGGCCGCCAUCGCCGCCCUCCCCGCCAAGAAGCAGCGCCUGCGGGAGUCCUUCGACCGCCUCCUCGCCGCCUCCCCCAUCCCCGUCCCCUUCACCUGGGCCGACGUAGACGCCCACAUCUCCUCCCUCCAGGCCUCCAUCGCCCGACGCUUCCGCCAGCUCCAGGCGCACCAGGCCGCCGCGCUCCGGUCCACCGCCGACCCCGUCCAGCACCUGCUGAGGGGCAAGGGCCAAGACAGCAGCGAGGAGGACGAAGAUUGGGCGCGGCCCAAUCGCGCGCCUUCGGACCUCAAUGCCGGGGAGGAGGGGUCGCAGGGGGAAGAUGGGGGGCGGGCCAAGCGGGCACCUUCGGACCUCACUGACGAGGAGGAGGGGGAGCAGGGGAGGGCGGAGAUGGCAAUCGAGGGGUCUCCCGGCCAAGACGACGCCGUUGAAGACUGGGAGGCGUCUCCUGGCCUUGAACCAGAGGAGGAAGAGGAAGAGGAGCGGGAGGAGGAGACCAUCCUAGGGGCGUACCCAAGCCAUCGCCACGGGGAGACGACGGGGAAGGCGCCGAGCAGCUGGCGGACGCCGGACCACGCAGGCGGCGCGGGGGAGGCCGUGAGGUGGAACCUCGCGGCGGCGCGCGCCGACAGGGACGCCUCGCUGCUGGCGGACAUGCUGUACUGGGGCAACAAGAGGAGCCUGCGCGCCCGGCGGCAGUUCCUCCCGGCGCUGCUGUGCGCCGCGGAGCCCCACGCGCUGGUCGUCGGCGCCGUCAGGGACUUCCUGGCCAGGGCCGAGCCCAAGAGCGACAAGAACUGGGAGAACUGCGCCUCGCUCCUCUGCUGCGUCCCCAGCCUCAGGGCCGAGCCGUCGGCGGCCACGCUGGAGCGGGCCAGACGGCUGGCCGAGGACUGGAGGGAGAUGAUCAUCGGCAGGCCUGAAACUUGCAGGGACCUCGGCCGGCUCGCCGUAUGGGGCCUUCUGCAGUUUCUUGCCUCGUACAAAAUCACCUUGGAGCUGGACGCCGAUGGGAUAAACCAUCUCCUCGCCGACGUCCCGCGCAACAAAAAGCAGAGCUGCAUCGAGCUCCGCAAUGGUCUCGGGCUGAUCCACGCCAUGGCUGACUCGGCCGACCAUCUGAUUGAGAAUGGGAAGCCAGUUGAUGCUACCAGCCAUCUGAUUGAGAAUGGGAAGCCACUUGAUGCUAUAAAACUGGCGUGUGAUUUGAAUCUGACCGACAAAUAUCCUCCACUUUCCCUCAUGAAUGAUUAUGUUGGCAAAGCUAAGAAGACUGCUCAGGAGAUAUUGAGCAGGGAAGGCGAUUCACGGGACUCUCUGAACCAGGCCAUGGCGAGGCAGGUGAACGCCCUGAUACUGUCGUGGAGGGCGGUGGACGAGCACGUCGACGUCGCGCACCGCACCGGCAUCAAGGCGGAGAUCACCCAGCUGCUGCACGGGUACGCGCGCAAGCGGCAGAGCCUGUCGGUGCCGGUCGGCUCUUCCUCCUCCUCCUCCCCGCCUGCCUGGAGCCCGCAGCGGCGGCGUCAGGAGCUGCCGCCGGAAGAGGAGGAGGCCCGGCAGAAGCAGCACAAGAAGCGGAAGCAGAAGCCGCACUGGCUGCAGCGGGAGGAGCGGCAGCACCGGUUCCACGAGCAGCCCAGGUUCUUGCCCCGGUGCGUCGGUGCCCGGCCGGGGCACGACGCCGGCGGGGGCCGUGAUCGUGGCGGCGAGGGGCUCCCGGGGGUCCGUGGAGGGCCUCCUCGGUGCCCUGGUAGCCCGUAUUAG